AAAUGAGACAGUCUUAAUGAGUCUUGAAAAAGUUAGCCAUUGAAGAGAUGCUGGAGGUAGGAAAAAAGAACAAACUCAUGCCUUCUGCAAAAUGCUAG
This is a long non-coding RNA of Dipodomys spectabilis (banner-tailed kangaroo rat), 98 nucleotides long. RefSeq lists it as uncharacterized. The record is from RefSeq and is a predicted model, not a curated record. Lineage: Eukaryota; Metazoa; Chordata; Mammalia; Rodentia; Heteromyidae. The transcript is spliced from 3 exons.